CGGCAAGACGGAAAGACCCCGUGAACCUUUACUAUAGCUUGACACUGAACAUUGAGCCUUGAUGUGUAGGAUAGGUGGGAGGCUUUGAAGUGUGGACGCCAGUCUGCAUGGAGCCGACCUUGAAAUACCACCCUUUAAUGUUUGAUGUUCUAACGUGGACCCGUGAUCCGGGUUGCGGACAGUGUCUGGUGGGUAGUUUGACUGGGGCGGUCUCCUCCUAAAGAGUAACGGAGGAGCACGAAGGUUGGCUAAUCCUGGUCGGACAUCAGGAGGUUAGUGCAAUGGCAUAAGCCAGCUUGACUGCGAGCGUGACGGCGCGAGCAGGUGCGAAAGCAGGUCAUAGUGAUCCGGUGGUUCUGAAUGGAAGGGCCAUCGCUCAACGGAUAAAAGGUACUCCGGGGAUAACAGGCUGAUACCGCCCAAGAGUUCAUAUCGACGGCGGUGUUUGGCACCUCGAUGUCGGCUCAUCACAUCCUGGGGCUGAAGUAGGUCCCAAGGGUAUGGCUGUUCGCCAUUUAAAGUGGUACGCGAGCUGGGUUUAGAACGUCGUGAGACAGUUCGGUCCCUAUCUGCCGUGGGCGCUGGAGAACUGAGGGGGGCUGCUCCUAGUACGAGAGGACCGGAGUGGACGCAUCACUGGUGUUCGGGUUGUCAUGCCAAUGGCACUGCCCGGUAGCUAAAUGCGGAAGAGAUAAGUGCUGAAAGCAUCUAAGCACGAAACUUGCCCCGAGAUGAGUUCUCCCUGAGACUUUAGGUCUCCUGAAGGAACGUUGAAGACGACGACGUUGAUAGGCCGGGUGUGUAAGCGCAGCGAUGCGUUGAGCUAACCGGUACUAAUGAACCGUGAGGCUUAACCUUACAACGCCGAAG
RNAcentral lists this ribosomal RNA (870 nucleotides) under Salmonella enterica. RNAcentral's name for it is "partial 23S ribosomal RNA". It matches the Rfam family "Bacterial large subunit ribosomal RNA", at positions 2073 to 2925 of the family's 2925-position model. Lineage: Bacteria; Pseudomonadati; Pseudomonadota; Gammaproteobacteria; Enterobacterales; Enterobacteriaceae. The record is from RNAcentral. RNAcentral also lists the same sequence under 1 other name.